UCCCUUUGGACCUACGCACUACGCAGUGUAAUAUCUCAGAGCAGGAGGAACUUUUUCACUCAUAUAAGAUACAAAUCAACGCAGAAGCAGGAAAGAACCAAGAGAAAUAAAAAUGUUGCAAUUGCUGGGAACGGUUGUUGGCCUCCUCUUCAUCAUAAUGUGCUUUUCCAAAGGACUCAAAGAGGGAAUUAAACCUCAAAGAAUACAACUAUCUGAAUCCCUUCCCAACAACAAGAAACAGAAGGAUCUGAGCGAAGAAGACUUGCAAUUAUUGGCAAGGAUCCUUUCAGUUGGAUUGGUCGAUGCAGAUCCAAACUAUCUCCACCAUCUUAAAUGCUACAGAGACUUGCGUGGUCCCUGAUCUUCUUUAAAAUAAAAAAACAAGACCAAAUACCGCAAUAUAUUGACAGCAUACUGCUAUUCCUGGAUUUAUCCUUGGAGUUUUUACAGUGGCGUAUCCACCAUAGCGCCAGGGUGGGCCCAGGUCCACCCAGUUUACUCAUUGGCCCACCCUGAGAAAGCUUCGGUGUCAUUUUUAAUUUUUUUAUUAUUAUUAUAAAAAAAUGUAUUCACCCAUUGAGAAUAUCCAAGCAUUCAAAGUGAAAUUCAAGUGAACAAAUAUCGAGUUGAAUUAAUGUUGUAUGUGUUUUAUCCUCUGAACCGAACUCAUUUAUGUUAAAAACUGGUUGUUGGUUCCGGCGCGCGCCAUAGUAACGUGAGAGAGGCAGAGAGCUGCCUGCAAAUGAUAGCUCAAAGUUCACUAAUGAACUUUGGUUUUUAAAAAAAAAGCCAGACUCCAGGGCCAGGCUCUCCGACUAGUCCGGAGACUGUUACGGCCGCUUGCUCCACGGCGCUAGCAGUGCUCCCUCCCGCUCCCGGUCGUCAGCAUGAAGCAGGUGUGGGCCUACCCGCUGGUCUGUCUGCAAUUGAUGAACCGCCUUCACAGCCACAAUUCAAGAAGUUCCCUUACACUCUAAAUCAUGGGAAAGCAAGGUGCUUCUCAUCAAGGUGGUAUGGAGAUUUUCCCUGGGUGGAAUACAGCGCAAGUAGGGACGCGCUUUUCUGCAAAAUGUGCAGACAUUUCCCCAGCCCAGGAGCUGAAGGUGCAUUUACGAGGGAUGGAUAUUUAGACUGGAAGCACAGCGUAACUCGUUGGAGAGACAUAAAAAAAGCGAGGACCACUGCAAGUCCAUGAGCAGGUUUGAAUGCCACAACCUAUUGUUGCUGUUAGUGCAAUACAAGAGUAAAUAACCCAAUUUGUGUUCUGUGAAACUGAAAAGGAUAUUACAUUGUUUUUGUUACUUUCGUUGCAGUUGUAAA
Trematomus bernacchii (emerald rockcod) is the source of this 1320-nucleotide long non-coding RNA. RefSeq lists it as uncharacterized. NCBI's taxonomy places the organism in Eukaryota, Metazoa, Chordata, Actinopteri, Perciformes, Nototheniidae. The record is from RefSeq and is a predicted model, not a curated record. The transcript has 4 exons.